UCGGGAAUCUUGCACAAUGGGCGAAAGCCUGAUGCAGCAACGCCGUGUGAGCGAGGAAGGUUUUCGGAUCGUAAAGCUCUGUUGUUGGGGACGAAGGGCGAAGGGUUAAUAGCCCCUAGCCUGACGGUACCCUUCGAGGAAGCCCCGGCUAACUACGUGCCUGCAGCCGCGGUAAUACGUAGGGGGCGAGCGUUGUCCGGAAUUAUUGGGCGUAAAGAGCGUGUAGGCGGCCUGGUAAGUCUGCCGUGAAAACUUGGGGCUCAACCCUGAGCGUGCGGUGGAUACUGCUAGGCUAGAGGGUGGUAGAGGCGAGUGGAAUUCCCGGUGUAGCGGUGAAAUGCGCAGAUAUCGGGAGGAACACCAGUAGCGAAGGCGGCUCGCUGGGCCAUUCCUGACGCUGAGACGCGAAAGCUAGGGGAGCGAAUGGGAUUAGAUACCCGUGUAGUCC
Molecule: ribosomal RNA, 448 nt
Filed under: uncultured prokaryote
Description: bacterial SSU rRNA
Rfam family: Bacterial small subunit ribosomal RNA
Source: RNAcentral